RNAcentral lists this ribosomal RNA (254 nucleotides) under uncultured bacterium. Its description in RNAcentral is "partial 16S ribosomal RNA". It matches the Rfam family "Bacterial small subunit ribosomal RNA", at positions 524 to 776 of the family's 1533-position model. The record is from RNAcentral.
GACAUAGGUGGCAAACGUUAUCCGGAAUUACUGGGCGUAAAGAGUGCGUAGGUGGUUCAAUAAGUUACUGGUGGGAAAUCGGGGCUCAACCUCGUGGAAGUCAGUAAUACUAUUAAACUAGAGGGUCGGAGAGGUUAACGGAAUUCUAUGUGUAGCGGUAAAAUGCUUAAAUAUAUAGAGGAACACCAAACGGCGAAGGCAGUUAACUAUUCGAUUCCUGACGUUGAGGCACGAAAGCGUGGGGAGCAAGACGG